Papaver somniferum (opium poppy) is the source of this 102-nucleotide small nuclear RNA. Lineage: Eukaryota; Viridiplantae; Streptophyta; Magnoliopsida; Ranunculales; Papaveraceae. The record is from RefSeq and is a predicted model, not a curated record.
GUUCCUUCAGGGCAUCCGGAAAAACUAUAACGAUACAGAAAAGAUUAGCAUGGCCCUUGCGCAAAUAUGACUUGCACAAAUCGAGAAAUGGUCCAAAAGAAG